AUUGAACGCUAGCGGCAUGCCUUACACAUGCAAGUCGAACGGAGUGGCGAACGGGUGCGUAAGGGAAAGGUACGUGCCCAGUACUGGGGGAUAAGUAUGCCUACGCGAAGCUAAUACUGAUACCUAUUGGAGUGGCCGAUACCCGGAUUGCUAGUUGGUGGGGUAAAGGCUCACCAAGGCGACGAUCCGUAGCCGGCUUGAGAGGGCGACCAGCCACACUGGGACUGAGACACGGCCCAGACUCCUACGGGAGGCAGCAGUGGGGAAUUUUGGACAAUGGGGGAAAGCCUGAUCCAGCCAUCCCGCGUGUGCGAUGAAGGCCUUCGGGUUGUAAAGCACUUUUGGCAGGGAAGCGGUACCUGCAGAAGAAGCACCGGCUAACUACGUGCCAGCAGCCGCGGUAAUUC
This 407-nucleotide ribosomal RNA is filed under the name uncultured bacterium. Its description in RNAcentral is "partial 16S ribosomal RNA". It matches the Rfam family "Bacterial small subunit ribosomal RNA", at positions 30 to 526 of the family's 1533-position model. The record is from RNAcentral.